UUACUAUAGCUUGACACUGAACAUUGAGCCUUGAUGUGUAGGAUAGGUGGGAGGCUUUGAAGCGUGGACGCCAGUCUGCGUGGAGCCAACCUUGAAAUACCACCCUUUAAUGUUUGAUGUUCUAACGUUGGCCCCUUACCGGGGUUGCGGACAGUGUCUGGUGGGUAGUUUGACUGGGGCGGUCUCCUCCCAAAGCGUAACGGAGGAGCACGAAGGUUAGCUAAUCCUGGUCGGACAUCAGGAGGUUAGUGCAAUGGCAUAAGCUAGCUUGAC
This 273-nucleotide ribosomal RNA is filed under the name Klebsiella pneumoniae. RNAcentral's name for it is "partial 23S ribosomal RNA". It matches the Rfam family "Bacterial large subunit ribosomal RNA", at positions 2101 to 2373 of the family's 2925-position model. Lineage: Bacteria; Pseudomonadati; Pseudomonadota; Gammaproteobacteria; Enterobacterales; Enterobacteriaceae. The record is from RNAcentral.